GAUGAACGCUGGCGGCGUGCUUAACACAUGCAAGUCGAACGAAACACCUUAUUUGAUUUUCUUCGGAACUGAAGAUUUGGUGAUUGAGUGGCGGACGGGUGAGUAACGCGUGGGUAACCUGCCCUGUACAGGGGGAUAACAGUCAGAAAUGACUGCUAAUACCGCAUAAGACCACAGCACCGCAUGGUGCAGGGGUAAAAACUCCGGUGGUACAGGAUGGACCCGCGUCUGAUUAGCUGGUUGGUGAGGUAACGGCUCACCAAGGCGACGAUCAGUAGCCGGCUUGAGAGAGUGAACGGCCACAUUGGGACUGAGACACGGCCCAAACUCCUACGGGAGGCAGCAGUGGGGAAUAUUGCACAAUGGGGGAAACCCUGAUGCAGCGACGCCGCGUGAGUGAAGAAGUAUUUCGGUAUGUAAAGCUCUAUCAGCAGGGAAGAAAAUGACGGUACCUGACUAAGAAGC
RNAcentral lists this ribosomal RNA (465 nucleotides) under uncultured bacterium. RNAcentral describes it as "bacterial SSU rRNA". It matches the Rfam family "Bacterial small subunit ribosomal RNA", at positions 28 to 491 of the family's 1533-position model. The record is from RNAcentral.